Small nucleolar RNA from Phascolarctos cinereus (koala), 73 nucleotides. Lineage: Eukaryota; Metazoa; Chordata; Mammalia; Diprotodontia; Phascolarctidae. The record is from Ensembl.
AAAUGAUGAAAUUCACCCAACAAGCUGGAAUUACCGGCAGAUUGCUUGGUGGUGAGCCCAAGGUUUUCUGAUU